Molecule: ribosomal RNA, 253 nt
Filed under: uncultured bacterium
Lineage: Bacteria
Description: partial 16S ribosomal RNA
Rfam family: Bacterial small subunit ribosomal RNA
Source: RNAcentral
UACGUAGGGUGCAAGCGUUGUCCGGAAUUAUUGGGCGUAAAGAGCUCGUAGGCGGUUUGUCGCGUCUGCUGUGAAAUCUGGGGGCUCAACCCCCAGCCUGCAGUGGGUACGGGCAGACUAGAGUGCGGUAGGGGAGAUUGGAAUUCCUGGUGUAGCGGUGGAAUGCGCAGAUAUCAGGAGGAACACCGAUGGCGAAGGCAGAUCUCUGGGCCGUAACUGGCGCUGAGGAGCGAAAGCAUGGGGAGCGAACAGG